This 413-nucleotide long non-coding RNA is filed under the name Arachis ipaensis. Its description in RNAcentral is "long non-coding RNA (AIPA_LNC002628)". The record is from RNAcentral. Lineage: Eukaryota; Viridiplantae; Streptophyta; Magnoliopsida; Fabales; Fabaceae.
GCUUUUGAAUGUUCCUUUUUGCUUCUCUUCAUUGCAUUUUCAUUCCUGUAUCUCUCUGGUUUCCAUACUUCACAUAACACCUGGUGGUUUCUCUCUAUGAUUAUGUGUAGCAAGGAAGAAUUGCUAAAGCAGAAGCCACAUUUGAGAGGCUUCUGAUGGGUGCUUCAGAAGCAAAAUUUGCUAUUUGCUAUGUCAGAAUUAUCUAAGUAGAUAGAGGAGAUGACACUGAUACUGUGAAGCUCUUAGGAUUAUCUAAAUGUAAUAUAUAUUUUGAUGUGUUUUGUACUUUUUGAAACGAGACUUUAUUUGGUAUUACAUGUAAUGGAUAAAUUACACUCUAUUUUGAUUUGUGUUGUUUGGACUAAAAACAUAUCUAGCUUAUAAUGUAACUUUUAUGAUUUAGAUUUCUUGAA